UGAGACACCAAAACGUUGCCACAGUGA
RNAcentral lists this non-coding RNA (27 nucleotides) under Rattus norvegicus (Norway rat). The record is from RNAcentral. Lineage: Eukaryota; Metazoa; Chordata; Mammalia; Rodentia; Muridae.